GAUGAACGCUGGCGGCGUGCCUAAUACAUGCAAGUCGAGCGAACAGACGAGGAGCUUGCUCCUCUGACGUUAGCGGCGGACGGGUGAGUAACACGUGGAUAACCUACCUAUAAGACUGGGAUAACUUCGGGAAACCGGAGCUAAUACCGGAUAAUAUAUUUAACCGCAUGGUUCAAUAGUGAAAGACGGUUUUGCUGUCACUUAUAGAUGGAUCCGCGCCGCAUUAGCUAGUUGGUAAGGUAACGGCUUACCAAGGCAACGAUGCGUAGCCGACCUGAGAGGGUGAUCGGCCACACUGGAACUGAGACGCGGUCCAGACUCCUACGGGAGGCAGCAGUAGGGAAGCGUCCGCGAUGGGCGAAAGCUUGACGGAGCAACGCCGCGUGAGUGAUGAAGGUCUUCGGAUCGUAAGACUCUGUUAUUGGGGAAGAACAAAUGUGUAAGUAACUAUGCACUUCUUGACGGUACCUAAUCAGGAAGCCACGGCUAACUACGUG
Molecule: ribosomal RNA, 497 nt
Filed under: uncultured bacterium
Lineage: Bacteria
Description: partial 16S ribosomal RNA
Rfam family: Bacterial small subunit ribosomal RNA
Source: RNAcentral